Long non-coding RNA from Siniperca chuatsi (mandarin fish), 1245 nucleotides. RefSeq lists it as uncharacterized. NCBI's taxonomy places the organism in Eukaryota, Metazoa, Chordata, Actinopteri, Centrarchiformes, Sinipercidae. The record is from RefSeq and is a predicted model, not a curated record. The transcript is spliced from 3 exons.
AUAUUUCAGUUAUUCAAAUUCAAUAAAACUCAUGGUGUAUACUGUAGUCUAGUUUGUUGAUUUUUUUUGCCGUGGUGAUGGUAUUAUUUUUUCUGUUUAGAGGUAUUAAAAAGGUCUUAAAAGUCAUUACAUUUGUACUUAAAAAUGUGCAGAUACCCUGUUAGAUGAAACCGCGCCCACUUCAGUAUGACGAAAGCCUCGACAGCUGCGUUCCCAUGGAAAACGCAUUCAAGUGGGUCCCGCAGAAUAUGACAGCUGUUACGGACUGAGCAGACCGGAGACACCAAGAUGAUACGGAUAGAGUUUUUAUUGCACACGAUGUAAACAGCUAACGAGGAGAUGGUACUUAUACCAUCCUUUGGCUAGCUUAGCUGGAGAUCUGGGGGAGUAGCGACACACACUGGAGACUGGAAACUGGAGACUGGACAGGAAUCAGGAAACUCAGGAGAAGGGAAGACACUUGCAGAUGCGAGGUAGGAGUCCGAGACGUAGUGAUGGCUGGAUACAAAGAUCUGUCCUACUACAAACGAGACCGGACACUGACUGAGGAAGAAGUGGACUGACAAAGAAAUCCAGGCUGUGUAGAAAGCUCUCAAGGACGACAUCAGGUCUGGGAAGGUUCCUGGGAAAGCCCAGUGUGUCCCAGUGCAUUGAGACUUCACCAAUGACACUUGAAGACAGGAGUUGGGAAGGAGUGAAAUUCUAUGUAAAUAAAACGCAUUGAUGCUGCAGACUCUGUGAAACAAAGUGGACAUGUUUGCAUUGGUCAUAUGCUGCAAACACAGCCCCUUUUAUGUGAACGUGCUCAAAUUGGGAAACCCUGGGUUGACUUACCAUGUUGAUAACAACUGUCGUGUGACUGCUUAUCCUGAAUGCGGUUGUUAGGGUAAGUGAAGCCAGAUAACAAAAAGAUAUCCUGGGUAUGUUGAACUUGCUUCAUAGUACAAGCCUCAGGUGUUUCCAGUGUCUUUUCCCUUCCCUGAGGCCUGUACUAGGAAGCUCUGUCAGCCGCAUUAGUAAUAUACUGAGUUUAGCUCCUCGUGUUUUUGCCUGCAACUAACAACAACUAACUAGCACAUCGACCUCUUGCCUCGCCUGCCUGCCACUCUGCCUUCACUCCCUGCUCGGCUCAGCUUGGACUUCCUGCAUCCCCUUACCCUCCACCAAGGCCAGCCGGUGUCCUCCCACAUCCUCUCAUCCUCCAUUCCUCAUCUUUUGCAAUAAAUUCCUGUAUUGUUCAUCUAA